AGCUGGUGUUGACAGGCAGAGACAGGAGCAACUGCUGGUGUGCCUUGGGAGCAUUGCACUUGUCUCGGUCUGACAGUGUCAACA
Molecule: microRNA precursor, 84 nt
Filed under: Xenopus laevis (African clawed frog)
Lineage: Eukaryota; Metazoa; Chordata; Amphibia; Anura; Pipidae
Description: mir-25 microRNA precursor family
Rfam family: mir-25 microRNA precursor family
Source: Rfam by way of RNAcentral